AGAGCUUAUUCAACCAGAAAAAGCUUAUGUAUGACUAUUAAAUAAUUAAAUAAAUAAAUAAAUAAAUAAAAAAAAAAAAUAAAAAAAAAAACAAAAAAAAAAAUGAAUAAUGAACAAUGAACAAUGAGUGUUAAGUCCAUC
Molecule: ribosomal RNA, 141 nt
Filed under: Chattonella subsalsa
Lineage: Eukaryota; Raphidophyceae; Chattonellales; Chattonellaceae
Description: partial Trypanosomatid mitochondrial large subunit ribosomal RNA
Source: RNAcentral